AUGCCUCUUCCUGUUCCCUUUCAGUCUUUCCUUUGUCUGGCAUUGCAGGCUGAAUUCCUUCUGCUGCUGCCGCCGCCACCACAUCUAACACUGCCUGCUGGUGGUCUUCUUGUUCCUGUUCACGUUCUUGUUCGUGUUUAUGUUCGUGUUCGUGUUCGUGUUCAUGUUCAUGUUCUUGUUCAUGUUUGUGUUCAUGUUUUCUUUCUUGUUCUUGUUCGUGUUCUUGUUCAUGUUUGUGUACUUGUUUGUGUUCAUGUUCGUGUUCGUGUUCACGUUCUUGUUCGCAUUCACAUUCUUGUUCAGGUUCUUGUUCAGGUUCACUUUCUUGUUCGUGUUCAGGUUCACUUUCUUGUUCGUGUUCUUGUUCGUGUUCGUGUUCAUGUUUGUGUUCUUGUAUGUGUUCAUGUUCUUGUUCUUGUUCACGUUCUUGUUUGUGUUCACGUUCACGUUCUUGUUCGCGUUCACGUUCACAUUCGUGUUCACGUUCUUGUUUGGGUUCACAUUCUUGUUCGGGUUCACAUUCUUGUUCGUGUUCAGGUUCACUUUCUUGUUCUUGUUCGUGUUCAUGUUCGUGUUCUUGUAUGUGUUCAUGUUCUUGUUCUUGUUCACAUUCUUGUUUGUGUUCACGUUCACGUUCUUGUUCGCGUUCACGUUCGCAUUCGUGUUCACGUUCUUGUUUGGGUUCACAUUCUUGUUCGGGUUCACAUUCUUGUUCCUGUUCGUGUUCUUGUUCUUGUUUGUGUUCGCGUUCACGUUCGCGUUCACGUUCGCGUUCAGGUUCACAUUCUUGUUCACAUUCACUUUCUUGUUCGUGUUCACAUUCUUGUUCACGUUCGUGUUCGCAUUCUUGUUCAUGUUCGCGUUCUUGUUCAUGUUCUUGUUCAUGUUCACUUUCUUGUUCUUGUUCGUGUUCACGUUCUUGUUCUUGUUCGUGUUCACGUUCUUGUUCGCAUUCGUGUUCACGUUCUUGUUUGGGUUCAUGUUCUUGUUCACGUUCUUGUUUGUGUUUAUGUUUAUGUUCGUGUUCACAUUCUUGUUCAUGUUCUUGUUCAUAUUCUUUUUUGUGUUCUUGUCCUUGUUCUUCUUCUUCUUGUUCCUCCUCCUUCUCUUCCCCUACCUUCAACUGCUGGCCCCCUGCCAUCUUGGUUGCCUCCUCUAGCCUCCUCUGCAUUCCACCGCUUAACAAUGAAAAAGCUGAAACUGCUUGCGGAAGCCCCUCAUUUGUUGAAAUCAUCUCCUGCCCAUUCUCUUGACUUUCUUGAGUCCCUUCUGCCCCUUCAACAUCCCACUUUAGAUCCCACUGAUGGCUUUUCCCUGCCCCUUCUAGCAUCUUCUNCUGGUCUUCUUGGGACUCUGGUUUUCCUUGAAGAACCCCCUCUGCNCCUGCCAUAUCUUGCUGCCCCUGCUGGUUUCCUAUUUCAUCUUGCUGCUCCCUUUCAGCCUUUAUCUUGUGGUGGUUCACCAUCUUUACCUCUUUCUCCAGGCCCACAGGCUGAAAUCCUUCAUUAUAUUUGA
RNAcentral lists this long non-coding RNA (1515 nucleotides) under Salvator merianae (Argentine black and white tegu). Its description in RNAcentral is "lncRNA (ENSSMRG00000004336.1)". The record is from RNAcentral. Lineage: Eukaryota; Metazoa; Chordata; Lepidosauria; Squamata; Teiidae.